This 542-nucleotide ribosomal RNA is filed under the name Bifidobacterium longum. RNAcentral describes it as "bacterial SSU rRNA". It matches the Rfam family "Bacterial small subunit ribosomal RNA", at positions 146 to 702 of the family's 1533-position model. Lineage: Bacteria; Bacillati; Actinomycetota; Actinomycetes; Bifidobacteriales; Bifidobacteriaceae. The record is from RNAcentral.
UCUCCUGGGGAACGGGUGGUAAUGCCGGAUGCUCCAGUUGAUCGCAUGGUCUUCUGGGAAAGCUUUCGCGGUAUGGGAUGGGGUCGCGUCCUAUCAGCUUGACGGCGGGGUAACGGCCCACCGUGGCUUCGACGGGUAGCCGGCCUGAGAGGGCGACCGGCCACAUUGGGACUGAGAUACGGCCCAGACUCCUACGGGAGGCAGCAGUGGGGAAUAUUGCACAAUGGGCGCAAGCCUGAUGCAGCGACGCCGCGUGAGGGAUGGAGGCCUUCGGGUUGUAAACCUCUUUUAUCGGGGAGCAAGCGAGAGUGAGUUUACCCGUUGAAUAAGCACCGGCUAACUACGUGCCAGCAGCCGCGGUAAUACGUAGGGUGCAAGCGUUAUCCGGAAUUAUUGGGCGUAAAGGGCUCGUAGGCGGUUCGUCGCGUCCGGUGUGAAAGUCCAUCGCUUAACGGUGGAUCCGCGCCGGGUACGGGCGGGCUUGAGUGCGGUAGGGGAGACUGGAAUUCCCGGUGUAACGGUGGAAUGUGUAGAUAUCGGUA